RNAcentral lists this transfer RNA (76 nucleotides) under Acinetobacter nosocomialis. RNAcentral's name for it is "tRNA-Glu". It matches the Rfam family "tRNA". Rfam says of the family: Transfer RNA (tRNA) molecules are approximately 80 nucleotides in length. RNAcentral also lists the same sequence under 8 other names. Lineage: Bacteria; Pseudomonadati; Pseudomonadota; Gammaproteobacteria; Moraxellales; Moraxellaceae. The record is from RNAcentral.
GUUCCUAUCGUCUAGAGGCCUAGGACAUCGCCCUUUCACGGCGGUAACCGGGGUUCGAAUCCCCGUAGGAACGCCA